ACAGCUUACAGCAACUUCCCCCAAAACAAAAAGCGGCGACGAGUGAAAGCGCAUAGAAUUGAGCGUUCCGGGCGGCAGAGCACCCACUGGUAGGAAGUGAAUCAGCGUUGAUCAAAGGGAAAGGAAAGUCCAGGCGGUCGUAGGUUCACGGCCCCCCUGGAUGGGUUUUGGCUUUGGAGCUGGACAAUGUCAGUCUUCACCAAGAUGCAGAAACACCUACGUGUUUCGACAGCCCCUUCCGCUGCUCAUCUGAAUUUCGCAUCGGGGGCUUCAGGCCGUGCCAGCGCACGCUUCCAGGUAAGAUUCUCUGCCGAUUCCUCUCAUUUACAAACACAGCAAAGACGGCCACGCACAGAGCAUCUUAAUUCAUCUGCCUCCAGUCCCUGGUCUUGGGAAGCUGAGAACUUCCCGGCUGUAAAUACUGUUAUGUCUUGUGACAUUUUCCAGCCCUUUCUAAAUAAAUCCCUUUUUUUUGUUUUUUUUUUUAUUUUUUGCUUUCAGAAAGUCAUUCCUCUCUGCCCUAGGAGACAUUUCCCUCUCCCACAUUAGGAGAUGGGGCAAGUUUUCUUUCGCAAAGCAGGAGGCUUUCCCAGCACCCCCCAGCUUUGCUAGAAAGCCCCGCGUUUUGCCCGAGCUCUCGGGGGAACGUGACAAUCCUUUGGUGGCUUCGGUCCCUCUUCUCACACAACCCGUUUGUUCCUUAGUGCCUGGUGGGGCUGCAGAUUUUCAGUGUCAGUUCUGGAUGGUAUUAACGGGGCAGGACAUCACGAAAAGAGACAGAUGCUUCGGUUUAAAAGAAAAGGAAAAAAAAAAAAGAAAAACCAGUGCCUAAACAAGGGAUUUGGCUUUGCCCUGUAACAUUCCCAGUCUGUGCAGGGGGGACCACCCCGGGCAUCCGGGCCAAAGGAGCAAGACUGAGCAAGAAGGAAUAUAACCUAGGAACCUACUACCUGCUAAAUUCUCUAUAAGAGAGAAGGAGUUGGAGCGUUCCUCCCAGCCGCAAAGCUCAGCUCCUUUAUCUUGGAGUGAGUCGACUCCCCUGCUCAGCCCCGCAGUCACUUCACAUGCCAUUUCGCCGUGUUUUUCCUUCCGACACAGAGCCCCAAGAGCAAUUAAAGACUAACCGGGGUUGACAGAUGUUAGUAACAUGCAACCCAGCCGUGGAAACAGCAACGUGGGCAGAUGCGAGGUGCAGAGGAGAGAGCUCUGCAUCUGCCGACUUCAGAGAGCCGAGGAGCCGAAGGAGGGGCCGGAGCAGGGCUCUGCGUCACGGCUCUAUCUGUGCCCUGAUGGAAACUCAGACCUGCUGAGCCUUGUCUGAAGAGAACCAGCCUCCAGCUCCCCCGGUGGGGAAACCCACCCACAUGGGGGACCAGCUCAGCCCACCCUUGAGCUCCGGCCCUGCGAGCAGGGCGGGGGGCUCAGCCAAAAAAGUCACUUGGCUUUGUCCCAGCCGUGCAGGUUUGGUGGCCAUUCCCACGGGCAGCGCAGGCACAGCCGGUUCGUUAACUCACCGAGACGCCCUGCUGCCACGGCUCACCAUCAAUGCCAGGCAUUUUUCUCCACCAAAGAAACAUCAAAGGCUUUGUCUCAUACCAUAGAAUCAUAGAAUGGUUUGGGAUGGAAGGGACCUUAAAGGCCACCCAGUGCCACCCCCUGCCCCGGGCAGGGACACCUCCCACCAGACCAGGUUGCUCCAAGCCCUGGCCAACCUGGCCUUGAACCCCUCCAAGGAUGGGGCAGCCACAGCUUCUCUGGGCAACCUGGGCCAGGGGCUCACCACCCUCACAGUGAAAAAUCAGAUACCAGGUUUUAAUUAAAAAUGCCCAAUCCCUCUGGCUAAUGAACAGACUCCGAAUUCCUUUUUCCAUCACUUUGAGAUUAACCCGAAUGCAUAGUUUACACUACAGCUUCUAGCAAGGGCAAGCUUGAUUGGUGUAACCUUUACUUUUCCUUUCCUACCCCUGAGGCUUUCACGUGCCAGGAGUCAAGGUUGGAGCAAAUCUCCAGUGCAAAGAAGGCCCCGAGUUUAUCUGUAACUCCCGCAACUGACUCUACAUUGGUCUCUGGUUUUUCAGAUUUCCCGUGUACAUUAAAUCCGCAGCAGCUCUUGGGAUUCUGGAAAUAGGGCCCAAGAAGGAGAACUGUGCAAUGGCAAUAACAUUUGGCACAAACACAUUUGUCAUCCACCUCUCAGCCACUCAAUGGGCUGUUGAUGCUGUUAACUACCAUGUAGCCCUCCAUUUCCCCCCAAGGUGUUCAUCAUUUGGAGCUGGGGGGGGGACACGAGGUGAACCAGGAGGCAGCAAUUCUGCACCAGCUGGAAAGGCACGGAGCUGGCAGAGGAGGCUCGCGUGGCCAGCAAAACCCUCCAGGGAGCAAGUCCUUUGAAGGCCUUGGAGAAGAGCCCUGGUGCUCACGAGCCAGCCCUCAUGUGAUUUCUGUCGUGGGUUUACACCAGCUCUAAUUUACUCUGAGCUGGAGGUUGCACUGGGCCACCAGGUGGCCACCAAGUGGGGGUUGCCAGACCCCAGCAGAGAGCAGGGAUUCACAGAGGUGCCAAGAGGCUUUUGAAAACACCAAAGCUGUUGAGAUCUCAGCUGCCUUCCUUACGCGGGCACUUCUAGAAAUCCCCCUUAAUGUUUAAUUAAGUGCGUGAGCUACAUGCCGGUGCUUGGUGAGCAAGAAACCUUCCUUUGGUGUCUCCUGAGAUCCCCAGGUAAAACCUCAGCCGGCACAAAAAGACGCUCCCCUCAGUCAACACAAUUACAUGCCAUCUGUAGUGAGGAUUGAAGUAUCCAAGGUGUCAACUCUGACCACCUAAAGAGAGAGGAAGCCAGGAGCAUGAGGGCAGCGUGGUGCCUCCGGGCUCUACACACCUCCAGACCACAGCUCCAGGAUGGGCUCCUAAAACAAACCCCAGUUUGGCUCAGUUCAGCCCCAAACCUGCCCCGUUUCACAGGUCCGGUGUCCAGCAGGACACCUGGUGUCCCAGCCGGACCGCGAUCCCUGAAGACGCAGGCACGAACCACCGUCACACCAGACGAACGUCGCACUUCCCAGCACCCAGGUUACGUUUGCAAGCAGCCGAUUUGCGAUGGAAAAAAAAAAAAAAAGAGAAAUGAAGCCACCAAAGCUGCUGCCACCUCUCCCAGCGGCGAAUCCCCGCGGCUGGUGGGUGACGGGGGCCAUUGGUUCCCUCCUGCACGGUGGCCGGGGCCGUCCCCGCGCGGCCGAGGGUGGGGUGCGCACGCACUGUUAUUCUGGGUAAUAAGAUGCCUGUCAACAUAUAAACCAAUUAGGUGCAGCUUUUGUGUUCGUAAUAAGGCCGGGCAAAAUGCUUUCUCUGAGCAAGUGCUUUCAAGUGAAAAACAGCUUCUGAAAGAAUCUGACAGUUCGCACAUGAGGUUUCAGUUUGCUCAGGGUUUGGGUUUGGUUUUUUGGUUGGUUUUUUUUUUUGGUUUUUUGUUCAAUUUGUUUUUUUUUUCAAUUCAAGUAAUGAAAAUUCUCACAUUGUUUCAAACUAAGAAACUGCGUCUCAGUUUUCAGCGAUCCCUCCCUCACACGCACACACAUUCAGUUGCUCUGAGCUUUUCAUCCCUUCCCUUUUUUUUUUUAAUCACAGGAGAAAGAUGGAAAAAAAGGAAAGAAAAGAAAAAAUACCUUUGAGCGCAACACGCUGGAAACAAUUAUUUUCUUCAUUUAAUCAUAUGGACUUAUUUCAAACCAAUUUUGUGUGCGUUUUCCGUGUACUACCAAGCAGGAUCCACAUUUUGGGGUGGGAAGUGUUUACCAUUCCAGUUUAACUUUUCAAAUUACCAGUUAACCACUGGCGUCACAGACUAGGCUUUACCUUACAGAUAAACCCUGAGUUCUGGCUUGAAUCAGGGAUGAGGAAACAUAGACACCCUUGUACUCUGCCUGUGACUAUAGAAGCCCCCACAACUGGUUUUGUCCCAGGUGGAAAAGCUGAAGAAGAGCGAAUUAGUCCCAUCUAUCCUAUAACUUUUCAGAAGACAAGAUGGAAAACUCCCAUUUAGUCUAAAUGGAGGCAUCAAACAAGUUUUGCAUUUGGGGUUCAAGCACGGAGUGCUAUAAGUGAGGCCGCGUGAUUUUUAUUAAUAAAAACCCCAAGAUGAUCCCCAAAACAAGGACCCAGCAGUGCUGGCUCAGCUCCUCUCUCCAGCGGUUACUCAGCUCUCCGGACCCUAGACGUGGGAUCUGUGCUGCAAAAAGGCUUUCGGAGAAGAAUUGCGGAUGGAAAGGAGGAGCCUCGGAGGAAGCGGGUUUUGCAAGAAGACGCUCGUACAGAGCCCUGUGUGCAGGGCUUGGAGAUUAAACGCUCGCAGCAUUUCAAUUUGGCUGGCUAAGCGCCGAAACUCUCCUCCUCCCCGAGAUGCCGCGGGUGGCCCUAAACCAUCGUGCAGCACCUCGAAACAACCGCAGAGCGUAAUUCCCUGAGCCAUCCGCGCCGCGUUACAGAGCAGUCAGCAACGUUACUCGUGUUGUAGCCACAGCAUCGGUGCUGCCCUGGGCCAUUCCAGGUUGGCCGGACACCUACGGCUCAUUGUGCAACACAGGACUAGCAGGAAAGGGAGACAGGGGUGGGGUGAAAAAUCACCUUGAGAAAAAUUCCUGCUUUUUACCAGCUGGUCAGUGACCACAGGAGAGCUAUUUUGUAAUCAAAGGCGAAAAGUCACACGCCCUGGCACCCGCAAUCCCCUUGCAAUAGAUCCAUAAGUCGCAGAGACGCAUUCACUAUGGAAAGCUGUUUUGGUUUCGAGAUGGAUCGGUUUAAGGAGGGAACUCUCAGCGUCGCCUUGCGGCAGGAUGCGGCCCCACACGGUCCCUGCAGAGCGAUGCCGGGCACCCGGCGGUCUCCGUGCGUUCGUGGCUGGCGGGCCCACCUGCCACAGCUGAAGGGGUUUUGUUCCACCUUCCAGCAAGAAAAAAAAACAACAAAAAACUGGGGGGAAGGGAGAUAUGAAACCUACCCAAAUGUUUAAAGGAAAGGAAAAACCCCUCCCGUCACAAGAAAUGGCAAGCCUCGCAACAUGUGCAAAAGCGAUUUCCAGAAACAAGUGGAAUCCAGUUCCCUUUUUAUACGACGACAGCGAGGGGAUACAAGAGCAGCAGCACGGGAAAGCAAGAGGAGACAGAGGACGCGGGGCUCGCGCUUGAUGUUUGGGGCCAGCAAAGUCUUCGGGUGGAAAGAGCUCUUAACCUUGCAGGUUAUUUUGCAAAGCAGCCCAGUGCCCGCAGCCUUCGCCUCCCAUAGCAGCGACGAGCAUCGUUCAGGCUGCAACUUCAGACUGUCUCUCCAUGAAGGACCAGCAAGGCACAAUCAGACACAGUGAUCCUUGCUUAGACUCAUCUCAGCAACAUUCUUCAUUUUUUCCAUGAAGAAACUGCAAGCAGAGGGGAGGGGCCAAGGGGGCUGAGAGCAACGUGUCCCCACGUAUGUGAGCAAAUAGAUUUCAACGAAAAAAAAAUAAGAAAAUAGGAUCGCUAAAGGUCUGUGGGCAUGAAUGGUCUGGGGAAUUCCCAAGGGCUGCUUUGAAACCCAACGUGUUGUAUUUUGAAAUGGACACAGACCUUGGCGGGAAGUGGGGGAGCAGACAGUAAUGGUUUAAUAGACUGUGGAAUGGCUAUAAAAAAAAAAAAAAAAAAAAAAAGAAAGGGGAAAAAAGAAAAAGCAGAUGGCAGCCCCUUUGCAGGAGCCAUAAAAUUUCAUGGUGUAUUUUCUAUCCAUGGCUUCACUGUAAUUCAAGCCUUGGGGGCCAGCUUUCUCUGGCAGUGGUUACUGAGGGGCCUUGGAGGGCAGCAGUAACAGAGGGUGGACACUUCUUGGGCCCUUUGACCAAAUGCUCCCUUUGGGGCUGGAACAGGAAAUAAAAAGCCAAUCUUCUCAGAGAAACACCUAGGAGACAUCCCAAACGCAGCCUGAAAGCAGCAGGUCAGAGCCCCAGAAAUUAAAUCAAGAAAACCCAAAAAGGUUCUAGGAAAGAGAAAUGGAGAAGGAGGCUCUUUGGAUCUACAUCCAGAAAACCAAGCUCACAGGAGAUCUACUGUCCCUCAACACAGCCCCCACCUCGCAUGAAAAAAUAUUUUAAUUUCCAAAGCCGUGUCCUGCCUGGGCCACUGGGCUCUUGGGAAGGGCACGGUCAGGCCAAGACUGUACCAGUCUUACAAGCAAACCUCUUAAACCUCCGCUUUUUGCUUGUAACUGUGCUUAAACACUGUCCCAUGGUCCAGGCACCUGUCUCUGAAUUUGAUCUAAACGUUUAAGGUCCAACUCGAGACCACACCUAGAUUUGACUUUGGCUUAUUCCCAUGUAAGAUUUGAACUGAGAUCCCAGACGUGAAUGCCAAUAAAUCAGACGGUAAAGGUUAACAUGUACAUUUUUUGGGUCCGUCUCCAGUUAUUAGCAGCACCCUGCACCUCAGUAACAGAGUUUGGGCCAAUUCUGGCGGUGUUUCAAGUUUGCAGUUUGUCUGUUAACAAAAUCCGCCCCCCCCGGUGACAUCGGUUUUUUGUUUGACGCCACGUAAGGCAGCGGCGCUAUGUGAGCGGAGCACCCAGCAAACGUCAGUACGGUCAACCCGGCCCACACCGCUCAUUCGUCAUCUCUUGCAGGUACCGGAGAGCGUCACCAAACCCAGAAACGCAACACACCUUCCA
Molecule: long non-coding RNA, 6682 nt
Organism: Chroicocephalus ridibundus (black-headed gull)
Lineage: Eukaryota; Metazoa; Chordata; Aves; Charadriiformes; Laridae
Exons: 3
Source: RefSeq, a predicted model, not a curated record